RNAcentral lists this ribosomal RNA (429 nucleotides) under Bacteroidota bacterium. RNAcentral's name for it is "Bacteroidetes bacterium partial 16S ribosomal RNA". It matches the Rfam family "Bacterial small subunit ribosomal RNA", at positions 355 to 776 of the family's 1533-position model. The record is from RNAcentral. Lineage: Bacteria; Pseudomonadati; Bacteroidota.
UAGGGAAUCUUCGGCAAUGGGGGGAACCCUGACCGAGCAACGCCGCGUGAGUGAAGAAGGUUUUCGGAUCGUAAAGCUCUGUUGUUAAGGAAGAACGAGUGUGAGAAUGGAAAGUUCAUGCUGUGACGGUACUUAACCAGAAAGGGACGGCUAACUACGUGCCAGCAGCCGCGGUAAUACGUAGGUCCCGAGCGUUGUCCGGAUUUAUUGGGCGUAAAGCGAGCGCAGGCGGUUAGAAAAGUCUGAAGUGAAAGGCAGUGGCUCAACCAUUGUAGGCUUUGGAAACUGUUUAACUUGAGUGCAGAAGGGGAGAGUGGAAUUCCAUGUGUAGCGGUGAAAUGCGUAGAUAUAUGGAGGAACACCGGUGGCGAAAGGGGCUCUCUGGUCUGUAACUGACGCUGAGGCUCGAAAGCGUGGGGAGCGAACAGG